UCGCAAGUGGUGACGGAAUGGCAAGUUUUUCGGCGAUGUCGUAAAAUGGCGAUGACGUGUUUGAACCGUCGGUUUCACUAUAUUUCGUGGUGAUGGAGUUGUGUGUUUAAACUGUGGAUGAUGGUGAUAAUGGAACUGAUAUAUUUCGUGGUGAUGGAGUUGUGUGUUUAAACUGUGGAUGAUGGUGAUAAUGGAACUGUUUGGUUUAUGAAGCUUGAAGAUUUUGAGUGAUGGUGUUGUUGUUGUUUUAUGAAGCUUGAAGUUUU
This 266-nucleotide long non-coding RNA is filed under the name Lathyrus oleraceus (garden pea). Its description in RNAcentral is "Pisum sativum (pea) long non-coding RNA (PSAT_LNC042174)". The record is from RNAcentral. Lineage: Eukaryota; Viridiplantae; Streptophyta; Magnoliopsida; Fabales; Fabaceae.